GGGCCGUUAGCUCAGUUGGUAGAGCAACUGACUUUUAAUCAGUGGGUCGCUGGUUCGAAUCCAGCACGGCUCACCA
RNAcentral lists this transfer RNA (76 nucleotides) under Rhodovulum sp. NI22. RNAcentral's name for it is "tRNA-Lys". It matches the Rfam family "tRNA". Rfam says of the family: Transfer RNA (tRNA) molecules are approximately 80 nucleotides in length. RNAcentral also lists the same sequence under 3 other names. Lineage: Bacteria; Pseudomonadati; Pseudomonadota; Alphaproteobacteria; Rhodobacterales; Paracoccaceae. The record is from RNAcentral.